RNAcentral lists this ribosomal RNA (498 nucleotides) under uncultured bacterium. RNAcentral describes it as "bacterial SSU rRNA". It matches the Rfam family "Bacterial small subunit ribosomal RNA", at positions 15 to 518 of the family's 1533-position model. The record is from RNAcentral.
GAUCCUGGCUCAGGAUGAACGCUAGCUACAGGCUUAACACAUGCAAGUCGCGGGGCAGCAUGUUGGUUGCUUGCAACCGAUGAUGGCGACCGGCGCACGGGUGAGUAACGCGUAUCCAACCUUCCCCAUAGUAGGGUACAGCCCGGCGAAAGUCGGAUUAAUGCCCUAUGUUCUUCGCAGAUGGCAUCUGAUGUGAAGCAAAGGUUUUCCGCUAUGGGAUGGGGAUGCGUCUGAUUAGCUUGCCGGCGGGGUAACGGCCCACCGGGGCGACGAUCAGUAGGGGUUCUGAGAGGAAGGUCCCCCACACUGGUACUGAGACACGGACCAGACUCCUACGGGAGGCAGCAGUGAGGAAUAUUGGUCAAUGGGCGGGAGCCUGAAAACCCAGCCAAGUAGCGUGCAGGAUGACGGCCCUACGGGUUGUAAACUGCUUUUAUAACCGAGAAAUAUGAUGGUAAGUUAUGAAUAAGGACCGGCUAACUACGUGCCAGCCGCUGC